Long non-coding RNA from Trifolium pratense (red clover), 453 nucleotides. RefSeq lists it as uncharacterized. The transcript has 5 exons. NCBI's taxonomy places the organism in Eukaryota, Viridiplantae, Streptophyta, Magnoliopsida, Fabales, Fabaceae. The record is from RefSeq and is a predicted model, not a curated record.
AUCAGAGAUUGCUAUUCAUGAGACUGAGUAAAUAGGAGUGAGAUUGAUAAGGCAAGCGAGUAUUUGACUGAAUAGUUGGUGUUGUAUACAUAUGGUGAAACAUAAUGGCUCAAUUGAAACUGGGAUUCUCAAUACCAUAUAUUGCUUUGUUAUUUGGUUGAUUGAAAGGGAAGAUAAUCGAGAUCUAAGGGGAAUUGGUUUCAUGCUAUGGUUUUUAGUCACUGUACUAUUUUAUGCACACAGAGAACCAACGCAGGGAACAUUUUCCAGCUAGGUGACUUUGGCUUUGUUAUUUCAAGGAUGGUUGCUAUGACUUGAAAUUUUUUAUGAUAUUGGUUUAGGUGCUUGGGUUACAAUCUUAUUUGUAAAGCCUUGAAUAAAAAUAGCAAGGAAAAUAUUCUCACACCUUGCCAUGUUGAAUAUGAAUGAGAAUUACUUAUGUCCUUUUUGAAA